AUUGAACGCUGGCGGCAGGCUUAACACAUGCACGUCGAACGAGUGGCGGCCGGGUGAGUAAUGCUUGGGAAUCUAGCUUAUGGAGGGGGAUAACUCCGGGAAACUGUAGCUAAUACCGCUUACCAUAGGAUGAGCCCAAGUGGGAUUAGGUAGUUGGUGAGGUAAAGGCUAACCAAGCCGACGAUCGCUAGCUGGUCUGAGAGGAGGACCAGCCACACGGGGACGGAGACACGGCCCAGACUCCUACGGGAGGCAGCAGUGGGGAAUAUUGCGCAAUGGGGGCAACCUGACGCAGCCAUGCCGCGUGAAUGAAGAAGGCCUUCGGGUUGGAAAGUUCUUUCGGUAGCGAGGCGUUAACUACAGAAGAAGCACCGGCUAACUCCGUGCCAGCAGCCGCGGUAAUAC
Molecule: ribosomal RNA, 405 nt
Filed under: uncultured bacterium
Lineage: Bacteria
Description: partial 16S ribosomal RNA
Rfam family: Bacterial small subunit ribosomal RNA
Source: RNAcentral